Molecule: transfer RNA, 61 nt
Filed under: Maguimithrax spinosissimus
Lineage: Eukaryota; Metazoa; Arthropoda; Malacostraca; Decapoda; Mithracidae
Description: Damithrax spinosissimus tRNA-Ala
Source: RNAcentral
AAACUGUAGUUUAUAAAAAAUUUAUGAGUUGCAUUCAUAAGAAGCUUUUUAGCCUGUUUUA